UACGGAGGGGGCUAGCGUUGUUCGGAAUUACUGGGCGUAAAGCGCACGUAGGCGGCUUUGUAAGUUAGAGGUGAAAGCCCGGGGCUCAACUCCGGAAUUGCCUUUAAGACUGCAUCGCUAGAAUUGUGGAGAGGUAAGUGGAAUUCCUGGUGUAGCGGUGAAAUGCGCAGAUAUCAGGAAGAACACCCGUGGCUAAGGCGGCUCUCUAGUACGGUACUGACGCUGAGACGCGAAAGCGUGGGGAGCGAACAGG
RNAcentral lists this ribosomal RNA (253 nucleotides) under uncultured bacterium. RNAcentral's name for it is "partial 16S ribosomal RNA". It matches the Rfam family "Bacterial small subunit ribosomal RNA", at positions 524 to 776 of the family's 1533-position model. The record is from RNAcentral.